This 362-nucleotide ribosomal RNA is filed under the name uncultured candidate division WS6 bacterium. RNAcentral's name for it is "bacterial SSU rRNA". It matches the Rfam family "Bacterial small subunit ribosomal RNA", at positions 1005 to 1382 of the family's 1533-position model. The record is from RNAcentral.
CAUAGAUAGCCUUCGAGGGUGAUACACAGGUACUGCAUGGCCGUCGUCAGCUCGUGUCGUGAGAUGUAGGGUUAAGUCCCGAAACGAGCGCAACCCCUAUCCCAUGUUACAAGUGUCUUGGGAAACUGCCUCGGUAAAACGAGGAGGAAGGUGGGGAUGACGUCUGGUCCGCAUAGUCCUUAUGUCCUGGGGCUACACACGCGCUACAAUGGUCGGUACAAUGGGCAGCCAAGCCGUAAGGCGGAGCUAAUCCUGUAAAACCGAUCUCAGUUCGGAUUGUGGGCUGAAACUCGCCCACAUGAAGUUGGAUUCGCUAGUAAUCGUGGAUCAGCCAUGCCACGGUGAAUACGUUCUCGGGUCUU